AGCGUACACGGUGGAUGCCCUGGCAGUCAGAGGCGAUGAAGGACGUGCUAAUCUGCGAUAAGCGUCGGUAAGGUGAUAUGAACCGUUAUAACCGGCGAUUUCCGAAUGGGGAAACCCAGUGUGUUUCGACACACUAUCAUUAACUGAAUCCAUAGGUUAAUGAGGCGAACCGGGGGAACUGAAACAUCUAAGUACCCCGAGGAAAAGAAAUCAACCGAGAUUCCCCCAGUAGCGGCGAGCGAACGGGGAGCAGCCCAGAGCCUGAAUCAGUGUGUGUGUUAGUGGAAGCGUCUGGAAAGGCGCGCGAUACAGGGUGACAGCCCCGUACACAAAAAUGCACAUACUGUGAGCUCGAUGAGUAGGGCGGGACACGUGGUAUCCUGUCUGAAUAUGGGGGGACCAUCCUCCAAGGCUAAAUACUCCUGACUGACCGAUAGUGAACCAGUACCGUGAGGGAAAGGCGAAAAGAACCCCGGCGAGGGGAGUGAAAAAGAACCUGAAACCGUGUACGUACAAGCAGUGGGAGCACGCUUAGGCGUGUGACUGCGUACCUUUUGUAUAAUGGGUCAGCGACUUAUAUUCUGUAGCAAGGUUAACCGAAUAGGGGAGCCGAAGGGAAACCGAGUCUUAACUGGGCGUUAAGUUGCAGGGUAUAGACCCGAAACCCGGUGAUCUAGCCAUGGGCAGGUUGAAGGUUGGGUAACACUAACUGGAGGACCGAACCGACUAAUGUUGAAAAAUUAGCGGAUGACUUGUGGCUGGGGGUGAAAGGCCAAUCAAACCGGGAGAUAGCUGGUUCUCCCCGAAAGCUAUUUAGGUAGCGCCUCGUGAAUUCAUCUCCGGGGGUAGAGCACUGUUUCGGCAAGGGGGUCAUCCCGACUUACCAACCCGAUGCAAACUGCGAAUACCGGAGAAUGUUAUCACGGGAGACACACGGCGGGUGCUAACGUCCGUCGUGAAGAGGGAAACAACCCAGACCGCCAGCUAAGGUCCCAAAGUCAUGGUUAAGUGGGAAACGAUGUGGGAAGGCCCAGACAGCCAGGAUGUUGGCUUAGAAGCAGCCAUCAUUUAAAGAAAGCGUAAUAGCUCACUGGUCGAGUCGGCCUGCGCGGAAGAUGUAACGGGGCUAAACCAUGCACCGAAGCUGCGGCAGCGACGCUUAUGCGUUGUUGGGUAGGGGAGCGUUCUGUAAGCCUGUGAAGGUGUGCUGUGAGGCAUGCUGGAGGUAUCAGAAGUGCGAAUGCUGACAUAAGUAACGAUAAAGCGGGUGAAAAGCCCGCUCGCCGGAAGACCAAGGGUUCCUGUCCAACGUUAAUCGGGGCAGGGUGAGUCGACCCCUAAGGCGAGGCCGAAAGGCGUAGUCGAUGGGAAACAGGUUAAUAUUCCUGUACUUGGUGUUACUGCGAAGGGGGGACGGAGAAGGCUAUGUUGGCCGGGCGACGGUUGUCCCGGUUUAAGCGUGUAGGCUGGUUUUCCAGGCAAAUCCGGAAAAUCAAGGCUGAGGCGUGAUGACGAGGCACUACGGUGCUGAAGCAACAAAUGCCCUGCUUCCAGGAAAAGCCUCUAAGCAUCAGGUAACAUCAAAUCGUACCCCAAACCGACACAGGUGGUCAGGUAGAGAAUACCAAGGCGCUUGAGAGAACUCGGGUGAAGGAACUAGGCAAAAUGGUGCCGUAACUUCGGGAGAAGGCACGCUGAUAUGUAGGUGAAGUCCCUCGCGGAUGGAGCUGAAAUCAGUCGAAGAUACCAGCUGGCUGCAACUGUUUAUUAAAAACACAGCACUGUGCAAACACGAAAGUGGACGUAUACGGUGUGACGCCUGCCCGGUGCCGGAAGGUUAAUUGAUGGGGUCAGCGCAAGCGAAGCUCUUGAUCGAAGCCCCGGUAAACGGCGGCCGUAACUAUAACGGUCCUAAGGUAGCGAAAUUCCUUGUCGGGUAAGUUCCGACCUGCACGAAUGGCGUAAUGAUGGCCAGGCUGUCUCCACCCGAGACUCAGUGAAAUUGAACUCGCUGUGAAGAUGCAGUGUACCCGCGGCAAGACGGAAAGACCCCGUGAACCUUUACUAUAGCUUGACACUGAACAUUGAGCCUUGAUGUGUAGGAUAGGUGGGAGGCUUUGAAGUGUGGACGCCAGUCUGCAUGGAGCCGACCUUGAAAUACCACCCUUUAAUGUUUGAUGUUCUAACGUUGACCCGUAAUCCGGGUUGCGGACAGUGUCUGGUGGGUAGUUUGACUGGGGCGGUCUCCUCCUAAAGAGUAACGGAGGAGCACGAAGGUUGGCUAAUCCUGGUCGGACAUCAGGAGGUUAGUGCAAUGGCAUAAGCCAGCUUGACUGCGAGCGUGACGGCGCGAGCAGGUGCGAAAGCAGGUCAUAGUGAUCCGGUGGUUCUGAAUGGAAGGGCCAUCGCUCAACGGAUAAAAGGUACUCCGGGGAUAACAGGCUGAUACCGCCCAAGAGUUCAUAUCGACGGCGGUGUUUGGCACCUCGAUGUCGGCUCAUCACAUCCUGGGGCUGAAGUAGGUCCCAAGGGUAUGGCUGUUCGCCAUUUAAAGUGGUACGCGAGCUGGGUUUAGAACGUCGUGAGACAGUUCGGUCCCUAUCUGCCGUGGGCGCUGGAGAACUGAGGGGGGCUGCUCCUAGUACGAGAGGACCGGAGUGGACGCAUCACUGGUGUUCGGGUUGUCAUGCCAAUGGCACUGCCCGGUAGCUAAAUGCGGAAGAGAUAAGUGCUGAAAGCAUCUAAGCACGAAACUUGCCCCGAGAUGAGUUCUCCCUGACUCCUUGA
Molecule: ribosomal RNA, 2787 nt
Filed under: human gut metagenome
Description: bacterial LSU rRNA
Rfam family: Bacterial large subunit ribosomal RNA
Source: RNAcentral